GGAGCUGCGCGCCGGUCGGAAUCGGCGUAUUCUCCCGGAGAUUCGACGGGUGCUUGGGGGUUCGAUUCCCCCCGGCUCCA
This 80-nucleotide transfer RNA is filed under the name Phycisphaerae bacterium. RNAcentral's name for it is "tRNA-Gly". The record is from RNAcentral. Lineage: Bacteria; Pseudomonadati; Planctomycetota; Phycisphaerae.